RNAcentral lists this ribosomal RNA (409 nucleotides) under Actinomycetes bacterium. RNAcentral describes it as "Actinobacteria bacterium partial 16S ribosomal RNA". It matches the Rfam family "Bacterial small subunit ribosomal RNA", at positions 355 to 776 of the family's 1533-position model. Lineage: Bacteria; Bacillati; Actinomycetota; Actinomycetes. The record is from RNAcentral.
UGGGGAAUAUUGCACAAUGGGCGGAAGCCUGAUGCAGCGACGCCGCGUGGGGGAUGAAGGCCUUCGGGUUGUAAACUCCUUUCGACAGGGACGAAGCUUUUGUGACGGUACCUGUAUAAGAAGCACCGGCUAACUACGUGCCAGCAGCCGCGGUAAUACGUAGGGUGCGAGCGUUGUCCGGAAUUACUGGGCGUAAAGAGCUCGUAGGUGGUUUGUCGCGUCGUCUGUGAAAUUCCGGGGCUUAACUCCGGGCGUGCAGGCGCUACGGGCUGACUUGAGUGCUGUAGGGGAGACUGGAAUUCCUGGUGUAGCGGUGAAAUGCGCAGAUAUCAGGAGGAACACCGAUGGCGAAGGCAGGUCUCUGGGCAGUAACUGACGCUGAGGAGCGAAAGCAUGGGUAGCGAACAGG